UGAGGAAAAACUUCCGCCUCCUGACAAGCCAAGAAUAAUAGUUGAUAAUCCUGACCAAUCAACAAAGCUUGUAGAGAGCCAAGAAGUUGGCCCUUCUACUGCAGCUGCGUCUUCCAAAAGUCGCCCACUACCAUGCUUGUGUGCUGGGAGGGACUGCUGGGGCACAUUCUGUAAGUGCUUUACCUAUGGAUUCUAUUGUGGUCAAGACUGUCAGUGCGGCGAUGGAUGUUUAAAUACCCAUAAAGUACAGGAGGAAUUUCAUUUCGAUAGGGGACUCGUGAUUAAAUGGAGCAAUUAUAGAGGAAGCUUGUGUAGGUGCAGCAAUAAAACCCACUGUAGUAACAAUUAUUGUGGGUGUUUCAAGCUGAAUCAGAGAUGCCUAAUAGGAUGUAAGUGUGUCGGAUGUACGAAUCCCUACGGUGAAAAGUGAGGUCAUACUUGAAGGCUAUGUUUGGAUUGACGGAAUAAAAUGGAAUGGAGCGGAAUGAAAUAUAGUGGAACGAAAUGUUAUUUUUAUUGUUUGAAUAAUUUAUGAUGGAAUGAAAUAAAUUUAUCACUGUAUUGUUUGUA
Lotus japonicus is the source of this 570-nucleotide long non-coding RNA. RefSeq lists it as uncharacterized. The record is from RefSeq and is a predicted model, not a curated record. The transcript has 4 exons. Lineage: Eukaryota; Viridiplantae; Streptophyta; Magnoliopsida; Fabales; Fabaceae.